Molecule: unclassified non-coding RNA, 329 nt
Filed under: soil metagenome
Description: partial contains 5.8S ribosomal RNA, internal transcribed spacer 2, and large subunit ribosomal RNA
Rfam family: 5.8S ribosomal RNA (bases 1-120)
Source: RNAcentral
GAUGAAGAACGUAGCGAAAUGCGAUAAGUAAUGUGAAUUGCAGAAUUCAGUGAAUCAUCGAAUCUUUGAACGCACAUUGCGCCCGCCAGUAUUCUGGCGGGCAUGCCUGUUCGAGCGUCAUUUCAACCCUCAAGCACAGCUUGGUGUUGGGACUCGCGUUAAUUCGCGUUCCCCAAAUUGAUUGGCGGUCACGUCGAGCUUCCAUAGCGUAGUAGUAAAACCCUCGUUACUGGUAAUCGUCGCGGCCACGCCGUUAAACCCCAACUUCUGAAUGUUGACCUCGGAUCAGGUAGGAAUACCCGCUGAACUUAAGCAUAUCAAUCGGAGGA